GUUGCUGCCCCUUUGCUGCUAUUGCGUUGCAAAAAAAAUCCUGACUAGGUAGCCUUGGACCUUUUCUGUGCUAGCGAGUCUAAAGGAAAGAAAGAUUUCUGCAACUGAAGGGGCAGUCGGGUAGUAUUACAUUUAAGAUAUUAACGCCCGACCUGGCUCACAGGAGUGUGGGAACAGGGGCGGGGAAGGGCCUUAGCACUGAGAGCCGAAAAGUAUAAAACGAUUAGUUUCGGCGUCAGGCGUUUUGAAAGGCUUUGCAGGUCCUGUUUUCUGCGUAAUUUUUCCGUGAUUACUGACUGGUUUAAACACGACCCCUUGAACAAUAUUGAUAAAACCUCCGAGACCCGCAGCCCCUCCUUGCAGCGUGUAGGAGCUGCCAGCGUGCCCAGCAGCUGGUGUUCCCGUCCGUACCUCCAGAAGAGCCCAGCGCGUGCACCAUCCCCACCCCCUAGCUUCCCUCCCCACCUACGGCUUUCACGCACUCGCAGUGAUUGUUU
Molecule: long non-coding RNA, 497 nt
Filed under: Homo sapiens (human)
Lineage: Eukaryota; Metazoa; Chordata; Mammalia; Primates; Hominidae
Description: HSALNT0014956
Source: RNAcentral